GAUGUUGGACCAUGUGGGUGCAGAUGCGGCCAUCAGAACCAUGUCCGGGUUUUGGCGCUAUCCUGUAGCGCGGACCCCAAGUUGCGCUCACCAUUGGCCCAGUUGACUCCCUAAACGACAUACGCACUACUGCAAGUUGCGACUGGAAAAAUUAAUCAUUGCACCCUUGUCCAUGAAGCAUAUUGCAUGCAGCUACCGUAUGGGUCCACAUCCCAUGGGAUAUUUGAACCCAGAAAACAUUCCACGCUGUAUGAUCAAAAUAUUCUGACUCGGGCGGUUAACGCCGAAGCUGAAACCGUUGUCACCUUGGAUUGCUUGAAGGAU
RNAcentral lists this small RNA (324 nucleotides) under Histoplasma ohiense. Its description in RNAcentral is "hypothetical lncRNA". Lineage: Eukaryota; Fungi; Ascomycota; Eurotiomycetes; Onygenales; Ajellomycetaceae. The record is from RNAcentral.